Molecule: long non-coding RNA, 1402 nt
Organism: Oncorhynchus keta (chum salmon)
Lineage: Eukaryota; Metazoa; Chordata; Actinopteri; Salmoniformes; Salmonidae
Exons: 5
Source: RefSeq, a predicted model, not a curated record
UAGGCUAUUUACACUUUACAUUCACUUGCUUUCAACGUGCAAACUAGGCUAUUUACACUUUACAUUCACUUGCUUUCAACAUGCAAACUAGGCUAUUUACACUUUACAUUCACUUGCUUUCAACAUGCAAACUAGGCUAUUUACACUUUACAUUCACUUGCUUUCAACAUGCAAACUAGGCUAUUUACACUUUACAUUCACUUGCUUUCAACGUGCAAACUAGGCUAUUUACACUUUACAUUCACUUGCUUUCAACAUGCAAACUAGGCUAUUUACACUUUACAUUCACUUGCUUUCAACGUGCAAACUAGGCUAUUUACACUUUACAUUCACUUGCUUUCAACAUGCAAACUAGGCUAUUUACACUUUACAUUCACUUGCUUUCAACAUGCAAACUAGGCUAUUUACACUUUACAUUCACUUGCUUUCAACGUGCAAACUAGGCUAUUUACACUUUACAUUCACUUGCUUUCAACAUGCAAACUAGGCUAUUUACACUUUACAUUCACUUGCUUUCAACAUGCAAACUAGGUUAUUUACACUUUACAUUCACUUGCUUUCAACGUGCAAACUAGGCUAUUUACACUUUACAUUCACUUGCUUUCAACGUGCAAACUAGGCUAUUUACACUUUACAUUCACUUGCUUUCAACGUGCAAACUAGGCUAUUUACACUUUACAUUCACUUGCUUUCAACGUGCAAACUAGGCUAUUUACACUUUACAUUCACUUGCUUUCAACGUGCAAACUAGGCUAUUUACACUUUACAUUCACUUGCUUUCAACGUGCAAACUAGGCUAUUUACACUUUACAUUCACUUGCUUUCAACAUGCAAACUAGGCUAUUUACACUUUACAUUCACUUGCUUUCAACGUGCAAACUAGGUUAUUUACACUUUACAUUCACUUGCUUUCAACGUGCAAACUAGGCUAUUUACACUUUACAUUCACUUGCUUUCAACGUGCAAACUAGGUUAUUUACACUUUACAUUCACUUGCUUUCAACAUGCAAACUAGGUUAUUUACACUUUACAUUCACUUGCUUUCAACAUGCAAACUAGGUUAUUUACACUUUACAUUCACUUGCUUUCAACGUGCAAACUAGGUUAUUUACACUUUACAUUCACUUGCUUUCAACGUGCAAACUAGGCUAUUUACACUUUACAUUCACUUGCUUUCAACGUGCAAACUAGGCUAUUUACACUUUACAUUCACUUGCUUUCAACGUGCAAACUAGGCUAUUUACACUUUACAUUCACUUGCUUUCAACAUGCAAACUAGGCUAUUUACACUUUACAUUCACUUGCUUUCAACGUGCAAACUAGGCUAUUUACACUUUACAUUCACUUGCUUUCAACGUGCAAACUAGGCUAUUUACACUUUACAUUCACUUGCUUUCAACAU